CCUACGGGAGGCAGCAGUGGGGGAUAUUGCACAAUGGGGGAAACCCUGAUGCAGCGACGCCGCGUGUGGGAAGAAGGUCCUCUGGAUUGUAAACCACUGUCCCCAGGGACGAAGAUGACGGUACCUGGGGAGGAAGCUCCGGCUAACUACGUGCCAGCAGCCGCGGUAAUACGUAGGGAGCGAGCGUUGUCCGGAAUUACUGGGUGUAAAGGGAGCGUAGGCGGGGAUGCAAGGUGGGUGUCAAAACGACCGGCUCAACUGCUAGCAGCACUCGAAACUGCAGCUCUUGAGUGAAGUAGAGGCAGGCGGAAUUCCUAGUGUAGCGGUGAAAUGCGUAGAUAUUAGGAGGAACACCAGUGGCGAAGGCGGCCUGCUGGGCUUUUACUGACGCUGAGGCUCGAAAGUGUGGGGAGCAAACAGGAUUAGAUACCCGUGUAGUC
This 440-nucleotide ribosomal RNA is filed under the name uncultured bacterium. Its description in RNAcentral is "partial 16S ribosomal RNA". It matches the Rfam family "Bacterial small subunit ribosomal RNA", at positions 338 to 795 of the family's 1533-position model. The record is from RNAcentral.